CAGUGCUCUUUGCAUACCAAGCAGACCUUUCUGUGUCCUGGGAAAAAGUAUUUCUCCUGGUGUUCAUUGCUCUAAUUGCAUCCACAGCGAGGCCGUCCAAAUAUGUUUUCAGCCGCAUUUGCAUUAUGCAAAACCUUAAUCUCCCCAAGUUUCCUAAAACACCGUGAGUGAUUCACAGCCUCUCGAUGCCAGGAAAUGCACUGUUUGAUCUGCCAAUCCGUAUAAAUCAGAUUUAUUGGGAGGAAAGAAAGGAGGCUUGAUACUAUAAACUAUUGGGAAAUAAUCACCCAUGUGCACGUGUGCCCCAUAAAUUUGCUACUUUGGAGAAAAACGAGGCAGCUGACCCAGCACAUGUUGCUGAAUUUAUGUCCUCGGUGCAGUGAUCACAAUGUGGAGGUUGGUGGAGUUCUGUGUUGGGCAGAGUUCUGCGUCAUCUGAGUCUGGGUUGACUGGGCGGGUCAACUCCCACACUGCCCAAUCUGGGGACAAACUGGCUUGAAAGAGGCCAGGGAGGAGAGCAGAGUAGCAGGGUUGUGAGGGUUGUGGCCAGAGCCCAGCGUAAGGAAUGCCAGGACUGUUCUCUGUGUGCUUCAGGACGUCAUGCAGGAAUAUUUACUGUGUGUCCUCCAUGCUGGACACUGUGCCCUCAGGACCCAGCCUUCCAGUGAGCAGAAAGAAAACAGCAGACACAAAAGCAAGAUGAUUCGAGUUUUGACAAAGGCUACCAUGGUGAGAAGACCAGGGGACACACAGAGAGUGAUUAGCAAAAACGAGGCAGCAUCCAAGCUUGAGUUCCCCCAGACGAUGACUUCGAGCAUGGAGCCAAGGGGCAAGUCAUUUGUCUGGAAGGGGAUCCAGGCACUACUGGUAAGGGGUGGGGAAAUGAGACAGGAGAGGGAAAGCAGUCAGCACAGGGUGUUACCGAGCAAGCAAGAGCAAGCAGCAUAGGGUGCAGCGGGCUGAAUCCUCCUGGGGCGCUUCAGUGUAGAGCACACAGCUCAGAGUCAUCCCGCUGAGGAGCGAGGGACCUGGGAUAUUUUCCCACCAGCUACCUAGAGUCACUGACUGAGGGCCACUCCCGCAGGGUGAUGCGUCUUUGGCAUUUCUAGCCCACCCAAAAGGCAGAACAGCCUUCCGGCACUCUGGAGAAACAGCCUCAGGCGCAGAGAGGAAGGUGGAAAUCUGCAGAGCACACUGCAAGUUCCCGGCGUUAUGGGAAGGAACUAACAGCAACUGCCACAGGGACCCCCGUUAGAUCACGUGGGUGGGUGGGGGUGUCCGUGAUGCUUCACUGUAGGUGUCCCAUCAGCCGGGUGAAGCUGCCCAGUUGUUUGGUCACACUCCAACUAGAUGUUGCCGUGAAGUUCAUUUGUAGAUGUGAUUGACAUUUAAAUCAGUAACCUUUGAGACACGCAGAGUGCCCUCCACAGCGGAGGUGGGUGUCAUGCAAUCAUUUGAAGCCUUAAGACACAGGUCCCCAACCCCCAGGCCUGUGGACCAGGGUACUAGUCUGUGGCCUGAUAAGAACCAGGCCGCGCAGCAGGAGGUGAGUGGUGGGUGAGCAAACAUUACCACCUGAUCUCCACCUCCUGUCACAUUAGCGGCAGCAAUAGAUUCUCACAGGAGCACGAACCCUACCGUGAACUGCGCAUGCGAGGGAUCUAGGUUGCACGCUCCUUAUGAGACGCUAACGCCUGAUGAUCUGAGAUGGAACAGUUUCACCCUGAAACCAUCCACCUGACCUCCCCACAGUCUGUGGAAAAAUUGUCAUCCACAAAACUGGUCCCUGGUGCCAAAAGUUCUGGGGACCGCUGCCUUAAGAGAGAGUGCGGUCCCUCAAAGAGGACGGAAUUCUGAUUCCAGACUGUAACGUAGAGAUUCUGCCUGAGUUUCCACCCUUCCGACUCCAGGCUGCAACAUGAACUCUUGCUGGAAUUCCCAGCCUGCCUGUCUGCUUGCAGAUGUCAGACUUGCCAGCCCCCACAAUCCUAUGAGCGAAUUCCUGAAGUCUCUCUCUCUCUCCAUAUGGAUUCUGUUUCUCUGGAAAAUGCUGACUGACACGGCCUUCAUGUGGAGGUGACAGGUGAGCUAAUACCAGAAGGAUGAAAAGGGGUCAGAUAUAAGGUCUGGGAAGAAAGCAAUUCAGGCUGCACGGCCAGCAAGUGCAAAGGCCCUGAGGCGGGAAUGUGCUUAGUGCAAAGUGAACAGGGAGAAGUGUGUAGUGAGGGCAGGGACCAGAUCACAGAGCAUCAUGCAAGCCACAGUGGGGUUUGGAUUUGAUUCCAAGAGCAAUGAGAAGUCAUUGAAGAUUGUAGAUGAGAGAGUGGCAUCAUCUUAAUUGAACUUUAUCAUGCUCACUCUGGUGACUGAGAGGAGAAUGGAUCAUGGGGGCAGGCGCAGAGCAGGGAAACUCCACAGGAGCCUGUCUUAAUCAUCAGGACGAGAGAGGACGGUGGCUUGGACAGGGAGUAAUGGACAUGGUGCUGAGCAGUGGGUGGAGCUUGGAGGGCCUGCUGUCCACGGGCUGGGGUCCAGGGUCCAAGAGCUCUGGGGUGCAGGAUGCACAAAGCGCAGGCUUCCCCAUGUGAGCAGAAGUGAGGAGGAGGAGGAGGGGAACUGCAUGGUGCCAUGUGUGCAGCUAGGCAGGAAGGGCCCAGAGAAGAAGGAAGCUGUUUCUGCAGUCCCUACAGGGCCCUGGGAUCUGACCCACCUGUUAACUGGGAGGAGGAAGGCUAGGCUUUCUUUCAUGCUUUUUCUGGCUCAGACAUUCUGAGCCUCCACCAUCUGGUAGGGUCAGAGCCUCUGAGCCUCGCCAUCCAGACAGACCCAGAUGGAACAGAGGAGGUGCGUGGGCCAGGGCAGCACAGUGUUCUCAGUCCUUCUUUAUAGCCUCGACUCUGCAAACAGGACAGGGGGCUGGCUCUGCGCUGCGAGGACACAGACGUGGCAGCCCCUCACGCCCCCAUCCCCAACCUCAGCGCCACAGGGCCCCCUGAC
This 2997-nucleotide long non-coding RNA is filed under the name Macaca mulatta (Rhesus monkey). RNAcentral's name for it is "lncRNA (ENSMMUG00000057808.1)". Lineage: Eukaryota; Metazoa; Chordata; Mammalia; Primates; Cercopithecidae. The record is from RNAcentral.